This 444-nucleotide long non-coding RNA is filed under the name Cavia porcellus (domestic guinea pig). RNAcentral describes it as "lncRNA (ENSCPOG00000030818.1)". The record is from RNAcentral. Lineage: Eukaryota; Metazoa; Chordata; Mammalia; Rodentia; Caviidae.
CUCAGAGCUUAUGCUGCAAGCUGCUGCUGUUUUCAUGGUGCCUCGGGUAACCUGCUCUAUUGCGUGUGGUGUGGAAUUACUGUGGUAUUGCUUAUAAUUUAUACUAGUUAUUAGUUAUUGCAGGCUUUGUUUACAGAUUACCUUAAAGAAAAUACAGCUCAACCACUUAAAGCUGCUUCAAAGCCUGUUUCCCAAAAAGAGAAGGGUCAGCCCAGCAGGGGAAAGGAGCAAGUUCCAGCCCAAUCCAAAGUGUGCCAAGCCAGACUGAUAUCCUAUGACAGAACAGGAAACUUUGAAAGAUGAUGGUGAAUUUGUAUACUGCAUUCCUCGGGGGAAUCUUAAAAGUUUUCACAAUCCAUAUGAUCUUCAGGUGGUAUCUUCCCACAGAGCUAGAAAUUGCAAAAAAUUUUGGAUUAUUUCUGCUUCGUUUAUUUCAAAGGUAAU